AAGAAAUUAAAUCAUUCAUUCGUCUUCCAGAAACGGUCUAAACGAACAGCAAUGGCAGCCCUGAAGCUUUUUGUCCUUGUCGCGUUGAUUGGAGCUGUGAUGUCCGAGGAAUGGCUCUCCAGUCGUCGCCGGCUGGCCCCUAAGGAACCUGCCGCAACCGAAGAUCCCAACUUCAAAGAGGUUAAGGUUGAACCAUGCGAUGUUGAAAAGAACAACUUCUGCGGCAGCCUGCCUACUGCACCCGUCCUCAAGCAGGGCGAAGGAUUCUACUACCCCGGCUAAUAACGACCAA
This is a long non-coding RNA of Papilio xuthus (Asian swallowtail), 292 nucleotides long. RefSeq lists it as uncharacterized. NCBI's taxonomy places the organism in Eukaryota, Metazoa, Arthropoda, Insecta, Lepidoptera, Papilionidae. The transcript has 2 exons. The record is from RefSeq and is a predicted model, not a curated record.